This 344-nucleotide ribosomal RNA is filed under the name uncultured bacterium. Its description in RNAcentral is "partial 16S ribosomal RNA". It matches the Rfam family "Bacterial small subunit ribosomal RNA", at positions 338 to 679 of the family's 1533-position model. The record is from RNAcentral.
CCUACGGGAGGCUGCAGUGAGGAAGAGUGGUCAAUGGACGAGAGUCUGAACCAGCCAAGUAGCGUGAAGGAUGACUGCCCUAUGGGUUGUAAACUUCUUUUAUAUGGGAAUAAAAUGUUCCACGUGGGGGAGUUUGUAUGUACCAUAUGAAUAAGGAUCGGCUAACUCCGUGCCAGCAGCCGCGGUAAUACGGAGGAUCCGAGCGUUAUCCGGAUUUAUUGGGUUUAAAGGGAGCGUAGGGGGAUUGUUAAGUCAGUUGUGAAAGUUUGCGGCUAAACCGGAAAAUUGCAGUUGAAACUGGCAGUCUUGAGUACAGUAGCGGUGGGCGGCAUUCGUGUUGUAGC